RNAcentral lists this ribosomal RNA (346 nucleotides) under uncultured eukaryote. RNAcentral describes it as "bacterial SSU rRNA". It matches the Rfam family "Eukaryotic small subunit ribosomal RNA", at positions 594 to 945 of the family's 1831-position model. The record is from RNAcentral.
AUAGCGUAUAUUAAAGUUGUUGCAGUUAAAAAGCUCGUAGUUGAAUUUCGGAUGAGGACCCUUGGUCUGGCUUCUGGUCAGUACUGAGGGGACCGAGUCUUUUUUCUGGGAAAUAAGGGUGCUCUUCACUGGGUGCCCUUAGGAACCAGGACGAUUACUUUGAGAAAAAUAGAGUGUUUAAAGCAGGCAUAUUGCUUGAAUACAUUAGCAUGGAAUAAUAAAAUAGGACUUUGGUUCUAUUUUGUUGGUUUUAAGGACCAAUGUCAUGAUGAAUAGGGACAGUUGGGGGCAUUAGUAUUCAGUAGUCAGAGGUGAAAUUCUUGGAUUUACUGAAGACUAACUACUG